This 269-nucleotide ribosomal RNA is filed under the name uncultured Planctomycetales bacterium. RNAcentral's name for it is "partial 16S ribosomal RNA". It matches the Rfam family "Bacterial small subunit ribosomal RNA", at positions 565 to 832 of the family's 1533-position model. The record is from RNAcentral. Lineage: Bacteria; Pseudomonadati; Planctomycetota; Planctomycetia; Planctomycetales.
GAGCACGUAGGUGGGUUUGUAAGUCAGAUGUGAAAGCCUUCUGUUCAACGGAAGAAUUGCAUCUGAAACUGCGAGUCUUGAGUGUAGGAGGGGAGAAUGGCACUUCUGGUGGAGCGGUGAAAUGCGUAGAUAUCAGAAGGAACUCCGGCGGCGAAAGCGAUUCUCUGGCCUAUUACUGACACUCAGUGUGCGAAAGCUAGGGGAGCAAACGGGAUUAGAUACCCCGGUAGUCCUAGCCGUAAACGAUGGGCACUAAGUAGAGGGGUUUU